GACGUAGGUGGCGAACGUUAUCCGGAAUUACUGGGCGUAAAGCGUGCGCAGGCGGUUCGCUAAGACCGAUGUGAAAUCCCCGGGCUUAACCUGGGAACUGCAUUGGUGACUGGCGGGCUAGAGUAUGGCAGAGGGGGGUAGAAUUCCACGUGUAGCAGUGAAAUGCGUAGAGAUGUGGAGGAAUACCGAUGGCGAAGGCAGCCCCCUGGGCCAAUACUGACGCUCAUGCACGAAAGCGUGGGGAGCAAACAGG
RNAcentral lists this ribosomal RNA (253 nucleotides) under uncultured bacterium. Its description in RNAcentral is "partial 16S ribosomal RNA". It matches the Rfam family "Bacterial small subunit ribosomal RNA", at positions 524 to 776 of the family's 1533-position model. The record is from RNAcentral.